This 133-nucleotide small nucleolar RNA is filed under the name Dasypus novemcinctus (nine-banded armadillo). RNAcentral's name for it is "Small nucleolar RNA SNORA72 (ENSDNOG00000034327.1)". It matches the Rfam family "Small nucleolar RNA SNORA72". Rfam says of the family: U72 is a member of the H/ACA class of snoRNAs. The snoRNA gene is located in intron 4 of the ribosomal L30 protein gene in human, mouse and chicken. Lineage: Eukaryota; Metazoa; Chordata; Mammalia; Cingulata; Dasypodidae. The record is from RNAcentral.
CUGUGAAUAUUUCUUGCUUUCCUGAUUUUGUGAUAAUGAGGACAGGCUAAACAUUUGCUAUAUUAGGACCAUGCAUGUGUCCCCAGACCUACUUUUUCCCCUAGCUCUGGUGGUUAAAAUGCUGGUGAUAUAC